CCUACGGGGGACAGCAGUAGGGAAUAUUGCUCAAUGGGGGCAACCCUGAAGCAGCAACGCCGCGUGGAGGAUGAAGGUUUUCGGAUUGUAAACUUCUUUUGUUAGAGAAGAUAAUGACGGUAUCUAACGAAUAAGCACCGGCUAACACCGUGCCAGCAGCCGCGGUAAUACGGAGGGUGCAAGCGUUACUCGGAAUCACUGGGCGUAAAGGGGGAGUAGGCGGGAUAGCAAGUCAGAUGUGAAAUCCUAUGGCUUAACCAUAGAACUGCAUUUGAAACUGUUAUUCUAGAGUAGGGGAGAGGUAGGUGGAAUUCUUGGUGUAGGGGUGAAAUCCGUAGAGAUCAAGAGGAAUACCCAUUGCGAAGGCGACCUGCUAGAACGUAACUGACGCUGAUGCGCGAAAGCGUGGGGAGCAAACAGGAUUAGAUACCCGAGUAGUC
This 440-nucleotide ribosomal RNA is filed under the name uncultured bacterium. RNAcentral describes it as "partial 16S ribosomal RNA". It matches the Rfam family "Bacterial small subunit ribosomal RNA", at positions 338 to 795 of the family's 1533-position model. The record is from RNAcentral.